CACGUAGGGUGCGAGCGUUGUCCGGACUUAUUGGGCGUAAAGAGCUCGUAGGCGGUGUGUCGCGUCGGCCGUGAAAACCUGCAGCUUAACUGUGGGCUUGCGGUCGAUACGGGCAUCACUGGAGUUCGGCAGGGGAGACUGGAAUUCCUGGUGUAGCGGUGAAAUGCGCAGAUAUCAGGAGGAACACCGGUGGCGAAGGCGGGUCUCUGGGCCGAUACUGACGCUGAGGAGCGAAAGCGUGGGGAGCGAACAGG
RNAcentral lists this ribosomal RNA (254 nucleotides) under uncultured bacterium. Its description in RNAcentral is "partial 16S ribosomal RNA". It matches the Rfam family "Bacterial small subunit ribosomal RNA", at positions 524 to 776 of the family's 1533-position model. The record is from RNAcentral.